This 1095-nucleotide long non-coding RNA is filed under the name Eucalyptus grandis. RNAcentral describes it as "long non-coding RNA (EGRA_LNC006909)". The record is from RNAcentral. Lineage: Eukaryota; Viridiplantae; Streptophyta; Magnoliopsida; Myrtales; Myrtaceae.
CGCCCCCAACGGGUAUCGGUUUAGUCUGACUGAGACUCUUUUCUUGGAUCUGACCUCAUUACAGUAGCAGAAUUCCCAUUAAGUAAACAGAACUGCACAAAAAAGUUAUCCUUGUCUGCUGAUUCUUGUCUUAGAACAGCUCUUAAAUUAUUUCUUCACUUAGUAGAUCAACUAUUUUUUGUCCCUUAGUACAUAUAGUCUACGUUUAGUGGGUCCAUAUUCAUCCUUGUCUGCUUAUUCUUGUCUUAGAACAGCUUUUAAAUUAUUUAUUCACUUAGUAGAUCAACUUAUUUUGUAUUGUCUAUGUUUAGUGGUCCUCUCUUAAAGGGUGCAUUAUUUAUUAGAACAAAUUUCUGGUUCUCUCAACGGCAAUGGUAUAUGUUAUCAGCAACGUGAACACAACCACAGACUACAUCUCUCUGAAAUCUGGACAUGUCUUCAGCAUGGGGAGGAAGUUACAAUUUUUCCAAUUAUUAGCUAGGCAUAUUUUCAAAUAUGUAAAUGUCAGUUAUGACUUGCCUGGCCAUUAUUACUAUAGCCGUGAUGAGUAUUUACUAGAAGUCCCUAUUGCAUCUUGCAUGAAGACAAAUAUAGUGCGAGAACUUUUCUAUGAUGAUUGAUGAGCUCAUACAUUGCCUACACUAGAUAUCUGAGUAGUUUCAUGUUUACCUCAGCAGUCUUCCAUAAGCUAAACUGAGAUAGAUUUUUCACUAGUGUACCUUCAUGUCAAACAUAAAUCUUUUAGGCAAGAUAUGUCAAGCAUAACUUGCCCAAAGCUCUUUGCUUCUUUUUGCACAAACAUAUGUAGUUCACAGAAGGUCCUCUCUCUCAUGUUUAUGAAUCUGGAAUGUCUUAGAGUGAUAAUACUUGAGGCCCUCGAGACCCUUGAGGCAGAGUUUUGAGCAGAGAGGACAAUUCUCCAAGCAAACUGUGCUACUCUACUGACAAGUUACUGUCAGAUUUCACAUAUCUAGAUCCUUCACGAUAAUUCUGUGUUUCUUAAUUGAUUGGAACUUUCACAAGACAUUAAAUGGAUUAGUUUACACCUGUCAAUGGUUUUGCUCCCUUGCAAGUCCUUUGUUCAAUUCGAUGUUG